Non-coding RNA from Daucus carota subsp. sativus, 161 nucleotides. NCBI's taxonomy places the organism in Eukaryota, Viridiplantae, Streptophyta, Magnoliopsida, Apiales, Apiaceae. The record is from Rfam.
UUGCACGUAGCACCCCGGGCUUCUCCGAAGGCAUCAAUUUGCAGAUAUGAAGAAGAAAGCCCCAAUGCUUGUGCUAAAUUUUCGCCGUCAAGUGUUGCAGUUUAGCCUCUUGUACCUAACUUUUUAUGGCUUUAUUUUGUGUCAAGUCGACGGCUAAAUCU